CAAUGAAAAAAGAUGCUAAAUCCAUAGCAGGAUACUAAGUCUUUAGCAGGAUGAAUGAGAAUUCUGACCUUUUAGGAUUAAAGGUUUUGGUUACUCUACCCAGUUUCGACAGAUUUGGAAGAUAUAUGGCAAAUAUAAAUUAUGAACUAGUAAACCAUUAUAAGCACUAAAACUAGUAGCUUUGAAUAUUUUCUAUUUGCUUCUUAUAUGAAAGAUUUUAUUCCUAUACACUAAUCAUUUUCCAUUUUUUAUUUUAUAUAUACAUUAUUAGAAAUUAGCAUUAUAACUUAGCCUUUAGGUGACAGAAUUAUUCAAUGGGACUGAGACUGAAUUUGGGGAGUAGGUAAUAUAGCCAGGAAUGCAUAUAAUGACUGUUGGAACUGUGCAUCUUUGUUACUGUUAGGAAAAAUUGAAAAUUUCUUCCUUUGAAGAAUAGCUUUAUAAUUUAAAAUUACAUUGUUUUAUUGUUGUAUGAGAAUUCAAAAUGUAUAUAAAAGGGUCUAUAUGGAAGUUGAGUAGUCAAAGGUGUGAGUCUUGCUGAUAAUCAACUUAUUGUGACUCAGUUACCAAUUCAUGCUUUUUGGCUUGCUUUGUGAAAGUGGAUCUGGGCCCUUUAAAUACCUUUGCCAGCUGGAAUGAUGCUCAAUUUUGUUAGCGGAAAAAGAAUGGAG
Molecule: long non-coding RNA, 671 nt
Organism: Pipistrellus kuhlii (Kuhl's pipistrelle)
Lineage: Eukaryota; Metazoa; Chordata; Mammalia; Chiroptera; Vespertilionidae
Exons: 3
Source: RefSeq, a predicted model, not a curated record